ACAGUACAAACUGAGCAGACGGCGGGCAAACAGCCCGUGCGUCGGGCCGCCUUGCGCGGCAGCGGAUGACCACAUCUGCGGGACAGU
This 87-nucleotide non-coding RNA is filed under the name uncultured Dysosmobacter sp. RNAcentral describes it as "NiCo riboswitch". It matches the Rfam family "NiCo (Nickel/Cobalt) riboswitch aptamer". The record is from RNAcentral. Lineage: Bacteria; Bacillati; Bacillota; Clostridia; Eubacteriales; Oscillospiraceae.